GAGUUUGAUCGUGGCUCAGGAUGAACGCUGGCGGCGUGCCUAAUACAUGCAAGUCGAACGAAACUUCUUUAUCACCGAGUGCUUGCACUCACCGAUAAAGAGUUGAGUGGCGAACGGGUGAGUAACACGUGGGCAACCUGCCCAAAAGAGGGGGAUAACGCUUGGAAACAGGUGCUAAUACCGCAUAACCAUAGUUACCGCAUGGUAACUAUGUAAAAGGUGGCUAUGCUACGCGUUUUGGAUGGGCCCGCGGCGCAUUAGCUAGUUGGUGGGGUAAAGGCUUACCAAGGCAAUGAUGCGUAGCCGAACUGAGAGGUUGAUCGGCCACAUUGGGACUGAGACACGGCCCAAACUCCUACGAGAGGCAGCAGUAGGGAAUCUUCCACAAUGGGCGAAAGCCUGAUGGAGCAACGCCGCGUGGGUGAAGAAGGUUUUCGGUACGUAAACCCUGUUGUUAGAGAAGAAGUGCGUGAG
RNAcentral lists this ribosomal RNA (474 nucleotides) under uncultured Lactobacillus sp. Its description in RNAcentral is "bacterial SSU rRNA". It matches the Rfam family "Bacterial small subunit ribosomal RNA", at positions 9 to 458 of the family's 1533-position model. Lineage: Bacteria; Bacillati; Bacillota; Bacilli; Lactobacillales; Lactobacillaceae. The record is from RNAcentral.